Beta vulgaris subsp. vulgaris (sugar beet) is the source of this 565-nucleotide long non-coding RNA. RefSeq lists it as uncharacterized. NCBI's taxonomy places the organism in Eukaryota, Viridiplantae, Streptophyta, Magnoliopsida, Caryophyllales, Amaranthaceae. The transcript is spliced from 2 exons. The record is from RefSeq and is a predicted model, not a curated record.
AUCUUGCACUAUAUAACCAUCCUCGAGCAUGGGAAUAACAUCAAGUUACCCAAACAAAACAAGUUUAAAAAGAGAAUUUUAUAAAGGGAAAAUGGAAAGUUCAACAGCAACAAAGAAUAUUGUGGUUCUGGUUGAGACACAGAAUUUUGAAGGUGAAGGGGUUAAUUACUUGGCAAACUCUUCUUCAACAACUCCAAACAACGAAAGUAAAACAAAUACGAUAAGCAGCACUAUUAUUGCCUCCCCUUCCACCACUCACCAACAGUUUAAUGUUACUAACCACGUAGAAGUGUACACCCAGACAAAUAUUGAGGAAUACAAGCUUCAAGCUCCACAUCCGCCCCCACCUCCACCUAUUAAACCAGGAAACGGUGGCGUCCACAACUAGGAGUACGAUACUCUUGCUGAGCUUCCUAUCUAGCAAUAUGUCAAGUUUGACAGUAUAAAAGUAACUCUUGGAGUCUUGGUUGAUUAUUAUGUUUUUUUUUUUUUUUGUAUUUACAGAGCUAUAGGGGUAAAUAAUGAGAAUCAAUUUCAAUAUCUCCUGAAAUAGGGAGGAAAGAAA